ACUGAAUAGAUACCCUGGUAGUCCACGCCCUAAACGAUGUCAACUAGGUGUUGGAGGAGCAAAUCUUUCAGUACCGCAGCUAACGCGUGAAGUUGACCGCCUGGGGAGUACGGUCGCAAGAUUAAAACCUCAAAGGAAUUGACGGGGACCCGCACAAGCGGUGGAUGAUGUGGAUUAAUUCGAUGCAACGCGAAAACCCUUACCUACCCUUGACAUGUCUGGAAUCCUGCUGAAAGGCGGGUAGUGCCCGAAAGGGAACCCGGAACACAGGUGCUGCAUGGCUGUCGUCAGCUCGUGUCGUGAGAUGUUGGGUUAAGUCCCGCAACGAGCGCAACCCUUGUCCUUAGUUGCUACGCAAGGGCACUCUAAGGAGACUGCCGGUGACAAACCGGAGGAAGGUGGGGAUGACGUCAAGUCCUCAUGGCCCUUAUGGGUAGGGCUUCACACGUCAUACAAUGGUCGGUACAGAGGGUUGCCAACCCGGCGAGGGGGUAGCCAAUCCCAGAAAGCCGAUCGUAGUCCGGAUCGCAGUCUGCAACUCGACUGC
RNAcentral lists this ribosomal RNA (547 nucleotides) under uncultured bacterium. RNAcentral describes it as "bacterial SSU rRNA". It matches the Rfam family "Bacterial small subunit ribosomal RNA", at positions 772 to 1319 of the family's 1533-position model. The record is from RNAcentral.